UACGGAGGGGGCUAGCGUUGUUCGGAAUUACUGGGCGUAAAGCGCACGUAGGCGGCUUUGUAAGUUAGAGGUGAAAGCCCGGGGCUCAACUCCGGAACUGCCUUUAAGACUGCAUCGCUUGAAUCCAGGAGAGGUGAGUGGAAUUCCGAGUGUAGAGGUGAAAUUCGUAGAUAUUCGGAAGAACACCAGUGGCGAAGGCGGCUCACUGGACUGGUAUUGACGCUGAGGCGCGAAAGCUAGGGGAGCAAACGGG
Molecule: ribosomal RNA, 253 nt
Filed under: uncultured bacterium
Lineage: Bacteria
Description: partial 16S ribosomal RNA
Rfam family: Bacterial small subunit ribosomal RNA
Source: RNAcentral